UAAUAUUGUUUCUCUCCCAGACUCAAAGUACAGUGACAAAUAAAUGAUUUCAAGUAUCCUCCUGAGAUAGGGAGAACUGAGAUAGAUAUUGCCAGCAGGCACUGAUCCACCUGUGGUGAUGGGAAGGUUGAGGGAUUCAUGGGGGAAUGACAGAUUUGGAAAGCUGCAGCAUGGCUUUUCUAAAAUGACACAGCCAAAGAUAUUCUAGAGAUUAUCCUCAAAAACUCGGUGGUCAAGGGCUUAAUGACUUAAAUAGCGGUCAAAUGUCUGCUUGUUAUCAAUCACCUAUUGCCAGUUGAACUGCAUUAAUGAGGGUUUCUUGAUAAAAGCUGCCUUAUCAUCCGGAACUGAGAUACCCAGCCUAAUGUGCUCCAGCAAGGCUUGAGGAAAUGCUCCUCUUAGCAGCAAAGCAGACGAUGUGUCGCUUUCCUGAAUUAGCCUGAGUCAAAUGGAUGGUCAGACCCUCCAGAAAGAAGCAAUUUCUUUCACCUCUUGUAUUAAAGGAGUGCUUUAUCCAUGUGUCAGAAAGCAUUCUGGCUGUCUUGCAAGAGUUUAGAGUCCAACCAAACACACCUUGGUGGCCAUUUGCAGUGGCCAGGGUUGAAGGUCACAGGGUAGGGUCACUGCACCCUGAGGGGAUGGCACAGGGUUUCACUGUACAUUGUACAUCCCCCUGCCAUAACCACUUACCUCCUUGGAGAAAAUGGGUUGGAAAUGGUAUUUAACAUUGUUGAUGACAAUUUUUCCAGAUUUAUUACCUGUUUUUUGUUCACUGUUUGGCUGCCUACUCCCCUUCCAUCUGCCAGCCCUGUAAUCCACCUCCUCUUAUCUCAGCACAGUUCGCUCCACCUCUUGCUCAUUUUUGUUUUAUUGCCCAGCUAAUCUCAUUCUCCUGCUUUUCCUGACACUGCUCCCCUCUCCCCAUCUGUGGAGAUUAAAUCACUUCUCCUUUUGUUUGAUGCCACUCAACAUUCCCCCAUUUCACUCAGGCUUUGGGAUACUUCCAGGCACUUUUGCUGUUGUUGCACACAUCCAUUUUCCUGGCACAAAAAGGCCCAUCAGCAUCUGAUGGAAGCGUUACUGAGUCCUCAUUUCAACCAGUUCUCAGAGAUGUCCUGAAUGUGAAAUGGAGCUGAGCUCAGCCUGCACAGUGCAGCAGAGGCAGGUGUGUGUGUCAGGAAUUUCAGGAGCAUCCGCAGGGUGCUCAGGGCAGCUCUAGAGUGGUGACAGAGCCUGGCAUCUGAAUAUUAGCCAAGAAAACUGGAGAUCAAAGGCAUGGGGUAAAAAAUCUCCAAGCUACGAAAAUGUGAAGUUUUGGAAGUGGUUUUCAAUGUUGUUGGUAAUGUAUCAGUGUAGUCAACCAUCAUCCCUAUUUACAUCUAGUGGCUUGUCAGUGUUCAUGGCCCCAACAGUGUCAUUCUAGCUACUGCUGAGAGUUGCUGGGGGUUUUAGGCUCAAGGUUGAAGCCAGUCUCCUUGUUCAAGGGUGUUAAGUGCAUCCUGGUUUGGGCACAACUGCAGCUAUGGGGGGGGGACAGUGGAUUUUCAUGCCAUGUGUUUCUGGCACCCUUCCACCUUCCUGCACAGAGAACAGUGCUGGACACUCCCCUACCAGUAUUUCCUCCACCUGUGUGACUGUGGAAGUCCACUGACUGCACUGCUGCUCGUGUUGGCUCAGAACUGGAACCAGCAGAGCCUUUAACCCCCUGGCAAACCCUGGACAAUUUCAAAAUGCCUUGCAGGGACCACAUGCACUAACAGGACUCCUCACAGCUGUCAGUCGCUGUUCCUCCUCACUGUGAGCACCCCAGCAUGUUUGCUGCCAGAACAAACCCUAAAGUCUUCAAAUAACCCCCCUUUGAGUACAUGGGAGAUGCUUCUCUUAGCAAGGACAGCUGCUGUUUGGCCCUAAUCAUUGAGUUUAAGAUGUUUUUUUAUUCUGUUUGGGUUGUAUCUCUUGCCUUAAUCUCCUCUUGCAAUGCUAACCAUGAUGCAUUUGCUAUAUGUCCCCUCACUACUUUUAUCUACCAACAUGUUUUAAAUAGGUUUAAAGAGUACAGGAGCUAAAAAAAAAAAUAAAUCAGGCAGCUUCAGAUGAAAGCCAGCAGCAGGCCUUUAAAAAUAGAGUGGCAGCCCUGCACGAGGUGCCGAGUAAGUGGGUGCACGGGAGGGGAGCGGAGCGGCUGCAGAGGCUCUGUUUAAACAGGAGGUAAAUAAGUGGCUGGGGGAGCUGCAGUUCAUCUUGUUCCCUUACGUGUUGCCCAGAUAAUGCAACAUAUCUUCAGGCAGGCUGGUUCUAAAAAUGGACACAGCUCUUGGGUUUCACUGGGUGACGCUCGGGCUGCGCUGUCCUACAUCCAUGGGAGCAGUGAAAUGGCAUUUAGUGUUUCAAAAGCAGCAGCAGUGCUCAGGUCUUGUCACUGGUACUUUAUGAAGACUUCUAUAAUGAAGAAUGUGUGACUUUAUACCAUGGUGCCUAAUGCAGAAGCAGCUGCCUGUAAAUCCCUGGGGUCAGGCAAUGUUUUGUUAAAAUUCCCCUUCCUGCUGUGGUUGACCUGUGAAAACAGCAAUCAUCUGACAGUGACAGCAGCACUUAAUUAGUAAUUCAGGAUUAAAGUGUUCUGUCCAAUGAGUAAUUUCACAGAAGCAGAGUUUAGAAUUGGAGCUGGUUUAAUAUAACAAAACUAUUGUCAUGAAAGCCUCCUUGGCAUUUUAAUGGUGUUUUUCUUUGGUCUAAAUAUACAUGAGAAGUUGAGAGGAUGUUUAAAUCUGAGCGGGGGAUAAAAGGGACCAAGAGAAAGACUUAAAGGUCUUGUCCAAACUCCGCACAAUUGUGCGAGCCACUGGCUUCCCUAGGACAGGGCAUCAUCCCAGGGAGCUGCACUAUUCACCAUUCCUCUCACUGCUCCAGGGGUGUUAAUGUCUUUAUCUUCCUUCUCACCCUCCUCUCUCCUGCCUAGUUGAGCAAAGCUCAGCUGUGCAGAGGAUGAGUAUUUGUUAACCUCCAGUGGCUGCAGUAAUGGUCAACUGGCUCCCAAAGAGACUGUGUUUGGGUUGGGCACAUGCUGCUCACUGACAGGGAGAAUUCUCCAUUUCUUUCUAAAUGAGUCUUCUCAGGCUGUCCCUGUUCAGCAAAUUCAGGAGAGAAAGGGCAGCAGGGCCCCUUGACCAAACCUUGGCAAGCAUGUUCUGUAGAAGGCAGCAGAGAGUGCAGCCUUCCCUGUGGGAAUAAAGUGAUCCUCUGUUGAGUGAAGUGUUGCCUACAAGGUUAAUUAGCUGUAGAAAAUGAGCUCGAAUACUUAGGAGUAAUGAAUCAUAAUGAAUCGUUAUGUUUGAGGAGUGACAAAUUAAAUUUAUGCAUAUUUUGGACUACUUGUUUUAGUCAGAAUGGAAAAUAGUGCUAUGCUUUUUUCUGUUGUUCUGCCUUCAUGUCGAGAUGUCAGGAAGCAAAUCAACAUGGCCAGAGUUUGUAAAGUCUGGCAGUGCUUGAUUGCACAAUGUUUAAUCUCUCUUCGAAGUCUUUGAGCUGGGCUAGGAGCAGGGGCUUCUCUGGAAUCAAUACAUUUGCCUCCACCUUCAGUAGAUGGGAUUUUGACCUGAAAAAACACAAAACUUCUCCUAAGCUAAAAGAGAAAAAAAAAAAAGUUGUAUUGUCCUAAUCCUGUGAGUGGUAGUGUCCUAUGGCAGCUCUGACUGAGGUGUAGCACCCUCAUCUAGGAAAGCAGAUUGAAUUACAGCCCCACCUCCCAGACCAAGGUGAGUCAAGGGACCUAUUUGUAGCAAGAUUCAUCAGAUCCUUCGGCUCCUGCUGUUCCCAGAAGAAUCUCUGGAGUUUUUCUGUGGAAUUAGAUCCAGCAACAUAACAAGCUAAGGGGCAGACAGGCAUUGUAACCCUUGAAAUACCUGGAAAGUAAGGAUAAGCAAGCUACUCCUACCUGGAAGAUAACUUCUGGAAUCUCAAUGUAAGAUGAAGGACACUGUGAAAAAGAGGAUCUUGAUAAGAAGAAUUUGUUCUUAGCCCCCUUCAAGAAUCGUAAUGUAUCCCUGGGUGAGCUGAAGCCUGACACAACCUGCUGUCCUUUGGGUUUUUUUUUUUGUUUGGUCCCAAGGUUCAGCUGGUUCAAGGGCUGGAGGAGCUGUGAGCAGGAUUUGAAUUCACAGCCUCUCUUUUAAAUAGAUCAGUGGUUCCAGGAGGGCAAGUGAUACUGCUGCAGUGAUUAAGUUCUUUGCUGGAUUGAUGCCUCUGGAAGUGUUUGGAGAGAUUUGACAGAUCUUCCAGUCUGUUGAAGGUUCCCAUGGUGUUGGCCCAGCCAUGACUAUGUGAGGCAAACUGUUUGUGUCACCCCUGGGAGAAAGCAUCUUUCUCACUCAGAGCAAAGAGCUCUUGGGCGUUCAAAGACAAAAGGUACCAACUGACAUUUAGUUCUGCUACUAAUUAAAUGUCAAAAACUAAUACAAGUUAAGACUAAAUUAGUACACUUCUCCAGAUGUUUUCACAGUUGUCCUGCCUGCAGCACUGUGGGUUAUGUUCUGAGCUGUUAGGUACUCAAACUGGUCCUUCUCAUCUCCGCUGAUGUCGUUGCUCCUGGCAUGAUCAGGUGCAAACUCCCACUUAUUAAGAGCUAUGAAGGAAUCAUUCUGACACAAAGUGGAAAAUUCUCCUUGGGGUUCAGAGCUCUUGCAAGAGGCAGCCAGUGAGGUGACUGCUUAUAGAGCUGACCCCAUGCUUCGAGUUGUGGAUUCAUAUACAAUAUCUGUGAAAGCAGCUAUUCUUGCUCUUGCCAAACUCCUCAGAAGACCCAUAAAAUGAUGUUAGUUGUAAGCCACAAGCUGGCUCUUAUCUUUGAAUUGUUUUUCUCUGACAAUUUUAAGAAGAGCUCAGCAUGUUCUCAGUAGGAGCUGAUGGAUGCUGAGCACUUCUGAAAUCCUGCCAACUUCAUUUAGGUUCCUAAAUGGGAACUGAGUGCUUUUGAACGUAUGAUCCUAAGGGUGCAUUUCAUAACACUAUAGCUCUGUCCAUAUCAUUUCUUUCCUCUCUCACUGUCCCCAGAAUGCUCCCAGCAGCAGCAAUAACACCAGGAGCACUGGGCUAGUCAAGGCUUGAGUGAUGCCUCAGUUAUGAUGUCAGCUCAAGGCACACUGAACUGAAUUAAAUGACAGCAGUUAAAAGGUGCCUGUCUGCAUCCAGUCUGCAGUAAGGUCACCAUCAUCACUACCAGCAUUAUGGAUAUAUUUGAGAUAGCUGUGGUAGAUUUUAUAUGUAUGUAUAUAUAUGAAAACAAAAAUGUAGUGCAAAUUCUACCUUGUUUUUCAGAGUAUUUCAUCCCAUGUUUCAGGCCAUGUGCACUCUACUCAACAAUGCUCUGACUCUCAAUUUCAGGAUUCAAAUUUUCUCCGAGGUAGGUUCGUGGGGCAGAUAUAAUGAAUAUUUUUUAGUGUUGUGGAGCAGGGUAGGAGGGCAGACGAGCCUUUAUCUGAAGCUUUUCCAACAGACUUAGUGCAUGGACAGCAUCUGUUUUGGUCCUGUGAGGCUGACAUCCUCUCCCAGCAGACUUGGCAGUGAGCAGAAGAGCCACAUGUCAGAAAAUCUGGGGGGCCCAUGGGCUGCGGACAAAAGUAUGGCAAAGAAUUUAAACAUCAGUGAGUGGAGUGAUGCUGGAGGGCUGGCUGAAAGCGAUUAGCACAGUGCUCUGGAAUGUGGCAUUUCAAUAGCCGCUCCAGAAGGAUCUGCAGCCCCAUUGACUUCUGCAGCGUCAGGAAAGAGCCCUCACACUCCAGCUUUUGCCAGUGUGAAUGGGAACGUGCAGGGCUGUGUGUGCAGCAAUCACAGAGCUCCCUGCUCUGGCUCUGCACACCCUGCCCUGUGUCCUGCUGAUGGGGGGGUUUCCUUUGCUCCACGGGAAUCUGAUGCCCCAGUGACUCAGGUGGCUCUGGGUCCUCCUGCAUUGCCAGAACCCCCCCUUGUCAAAUCUGCAUCAAUAUCAGCUGUAGCUUUGCUGUUUGCCUACCCUGGGCCAAAGCAUCAAAGGCCACCUGUGGCCAUGAUCCAGCUGUUGUCAGCUGUGCAGUCGGGUGGUGGGUGGUGUGGGGUUUGGGUGUUUUGUUACCACGUGUGUCAGUGUGGGGCUUGGGUGUUUUGUUUCCACUGCUGCUGGGUUUUGGCCUCUUUGGGAAUGCACCAAGUGGGACUAAGAAUGUGUCUUUGGUCACAUUUACUUGUUUAAUUUUUUUCUUUACAUUUUCCUUCCCCCCCCCCUUCUGACUUUUAGGUAGAUAAUCAAAGUGUGAAAUAAAUUAAAAAUAAAGCUGGGUAGAAGGCCUGGCUGAUGAGAGCACAUAGAUUUUUAGUUGAGGUGGGAGAAGAACGCGCUCAUUCAAGCCCUCAUGGAGGGCAGGGAAUUCCCUGGCUUUUGUCUAAAUAUGGCAUGAGAGAGCAGAGCACAGGCAGUGCAAUGCUUCACUGAGUAUUGUUUAAAAGGGAGCUUGGCAGUGGCCAGCAAGUAGGAUUCUUGUGAAAACAUGGCACAAGGAGUUGUUUGACAGAUUCUGACAUAGCAAAGUCUUUACAAGGGGCAAAAAAAAAAAAAAAAACGAAGAAGGAAAAGAGAGAAACUGCAGACUACAUGAAGCCAAAAGCAUAGUCUCUGCCUAGAAGAUUGCAGAAUAAAAGGCACUUAGCACUGAGUCACACCCUGCAAGCUCUGUGGGUCUGAUCCUCUCAGUGAUCGAUUGCACUGAGUUAAAAUCCCCUCCUAAAUGAUUGCCUGUUGUCAGUCAUCCAGAAGAGGGGAUGAAGAGGAGUGAGAGCUGGGGAGGAGACUGCCAUGGCUUGCACCCACUCACCAGAGUCUCUAUCUCAGACUUGCCUGGUUGGGUGGACCCAUUCUCUGCCAUCUCAUGUUUCCCCCUGUGGGUAAAUGACAUUUCAGUAGCAGGUUUAUGGAUGCAGCACUCAGUCCCAAGCAAUCCCGUGGUUUGUGUAGGUGUCUCCCUUUUGCAAAGCUUAUGCUGAUUUGUGGCUUUGAAUAUCUAUUGCAGCAGUGAGCAAUGAUUCCUGCCUGGAAGAAAACCCCUCUCCCACUGCCUCUGCCACGUCUGGAGACACUGUGAGUCCCUCAGAGCAAAAAGGCCUUUACGCAUCUCAGCAAUGGAGAGUUUUGCCUCCAAAAUUCCAAUGCUCUUGAAAUAUGGCCAUUAUGUGAGUGUUUUGAAGGAGGGAAAACUUAUCUGGGAUUCAGUGCACUUCUGGAGGUCUCGGAUGGAGACACCUCACUCGGUGACUCUGCUACUGAUGCCAGCUACUGAACAGACUGUGUAGCUCAUACAGAGGAGGUCUUGGCUCAGGCUUCCCCAUUUAAAGUGGAGCCCUUACCUAAAUUCACCUUGAAUGCAACAUCCAUGCUCAAUCACAGCUGGAGCUUCCUCACAUCGAAGAUAAGACAGUCUUCCUCUGGUUGGUGGUUUGGAUGGUGUCCUGCAGUGUAAACUAGAAUGAUAGGAGUAGUCUGUAAUUAGCACAUAACCUCAGGCAGUUUUGUUCCUGAAAUGCAAGGCCUAAGUUGUUCUGCUGCAAUAGUGUUGGUUUAGUGAGUCCAUUAACUGCUCUGCAUCAUGUUAGUGAAAGCUGUUCCCUAAGAGCUGCAAAGGUAUGGAAUAGGAAACAGGAGUCUCUGAUCCAGUCCUGCAGGCAUCUUCCAGUGAAACCAAAGGGAAGCCCAUCAUAUGUGUUGCCCAUGAGAUGCACUCCAUGGCAAAGCAAUGAAGCCCAAGAGUUUCUGGAUCAUCUUAGCAAAGCUCAGGGGAGAGCAAAGGCACAGGAGCACUCCCCUACCCUUUUUGAACAUUUCAGUUGAUGUUGUUAAUUGUAGUGGAGCUGCUGCAAAUAUUUUGGAAAGCAAAUAUUUGAUGUCCCCAUCCAGCAGAAAAUAAGUCGAAGGACCAACCUGCUGCCACUCACUUGAUCGUUGCAACAAAACCAGGGCUGAGAAUCAAUAGCAACGACGCUGAGCUUUUGUGGUCACCUCCUCUCCAAACAAGGGCUGUGAUGUGAGAGCAAACAACACCUGCUUGGAGGAACUGGGCACGGGCUGAAAGGGAGCUGGUGGGCAGAGGCUGUUUGUGCAGCACUGGGCUCUGGGGUGGGGCUGCUGGCAGAGGCAGGAGGAAGAUGAUAUCUCCAUCAGCCCGUGCUAAUGUGAGAGGCAGAAAGGGGUGAGCUCCUGCCUUCCCUGUGCCCCGGCUGGUGAGUGAUGGACAGUGACUCCUCCGUGCCUGCCAGGAGGAAAGCCCUGGAGUGGGACUGCCCUCCAGCCAGUCCUGCUCUUGGCUGGGGUGUGGGUCACAUCAGAGGACAAAUUGAAGGGUUGUCACAAGGAGAAAAUUGGGCAGCUCCUUGUGUGGCAGAGGCAGCAGAUCAGUCACCACUCACAUCUCUGCCCAAGUAUGAAUUCUCUAAGGAAGACCAAUAUCACUUUGCCCUAACUGGAAAGCAGGGGAGAUGGCACAUACUUCACAUGCUCUGGCUGGGCCCAAAUACCCAAUGUGCAAGUGAUCUGCUUUUGGGUGCUGCUUUUUUUCUUAAUCUUAUUUUUUUUGUUGUUGUUUUUAGCCUUCUAAAAACAGACUUCGGAUUCAUCAGCUGGAAGUGAUCUCAUCACAUUACAGAUUCGCUUUCCUGGGAAACUGAACUUCUGGUAUAAUCAUGGGAAAGUCUCACCUUCCCUUUUUAUUUUCUUUUAACUGAGUUUCUAUUGAAAUUAGCUUGGCAGACUAACACCUCAGAACGAAAGACACAAAAGAAAACUCUUUGUUACUACUAUUUCUUUUUUAAUCUCUUGAUUUUCUUACCAAUCUAGUGAUUUUGGAGAUAGCAAGUGAUAUUUGGAUAUUUAAAGACACAUAUUCAAAUCUGUAGAGUAGGCAGGCCCCUUAAUAAUACAUUUUACCAACGGUCUGUUUAUCCCAUUGCUGGCAAAAAAAUAGAGGCAAACCCCAAUAAUUAAUUACUGCUCUGUCUUUUGUACUGUUCUUUGAACUGCAACAUUUUUGUUCACUCCUACCCUUUUUCUAGCUCUUACAAAUGCUCUGCACAACUGGAAGGUGGCUCAGCAAAGCCAGUGCAGUAUCUCUGUAGCCAAGCAAGGACAGACUUGGCUCCUCUUCAAAGGGAGCUUUUAUCGGGUGUUUAGUGUGAUGUGACAAAGCAGGGAAGUGUGCCAUGGAUGCAAUGCUUCCAAAUCCCCACCUUCUACCUUGAUUGAACUUGAGAACAAUUAUCCCUUGCCAGGGUGAUGAUCCCUGCCAACGUGCAUCUUGUUUACAGCUGUGCUCAGUUUUUAACAUAUUUUUCUGUUUUGGACUAGGACAGCACGAUUCUGCUUUAUGAACUGGACAAAAUCCAUUUAAAAUAUCAAGUUUCUCGUAUUUUACCACAGGAACCAGAAUGUGGUGUUUUGGGCUGGCAGCCCCAGUGCCCCAGGAUGACACUGCUCACGUGUGCAAAGUGACGCCUGGGCCCCAGCAGACCUGCAAGGUCUCACUGUCAGUGUGGGAAAGCUUUGGAUGGGGCCAGCAGAAACUAAAAAGAUUUAUUCUGGGAUUAUUUUAUUGUGCUUGGAACAAGCAUUUACUGUCUGGUGUGACUGAGCUUUAGACGCUGCUGUAAAUUCCAGAUGAAAAUUGCACAGCAUUUGCCAUUCCGUUUUGCCCUAUUUUGUUUUGUGGUUCCUUUUCGUUCCUAGAUUCUGCUUUAUUCUGAAUUCUAAUGAAUUUAGAUCAUUGGAUCAAAGUCUUAUUAAAAAAAAUAAUAAAAAAAAACAACAAAAGAAAAACCAACAAACCCCCCCACACAUUUUGGCCAAAAAUAUUUGACUAAACAUUUUUAUUUUACUAAUUUCCCAAUUGCCUAUAGCAGUCACUUUAAAAAUGUCUGCACCCAAACCUAGUUUUACUUGAAAAUAUCCUCUUCCUUUUCUCUCUCUGUUUUUUUUUCUUCACAAGAACCAGGCCAGUUUUGAGAGACACUUUAAUAUGAAAAAUGCACAUCAGCACCCUGAGAAAUUUCCAUGUUUGGCUUCGAAUCUGUCAGGUUACAUGGAGAAAAAAAUAUCUUGUAAAUUUUCUUGUUCAGUCACUUUUUAAUUUGAUGGUUUUGCCUUGCCAUUUAGGCAGAAUAUAUUGAGAACAGGAGCUUUUCUCCCUGGUCAUUCCUGCUCUGCCCUAUUUUUACCCAGCUGAUCCCAGCCCAUCACUCUGUGCCCUGGCAACUUACUGGCUUCCUCCUCUUUUCUCUGGAUUAUCUUCCCUCUUUUUGUUGACUAAAAGGACAAGUCUAUUUCAGUUGAAGGAAGAGCCAAGAUUAUGAUGUGGCACUGAACUUUGCUGAGGAUUCGCUGUUUGUCUCUGAAAUCAUCCUUGGACAGCGGUGAGACACCAGACCCAUCUCCUGGUUGGACUUGGCUCUGUGCUGUGAUUCCAGGACUGGCAGGGGGUCCCUCUCAGCACGUUCCAGGGUGCAGAGGCACCUCUGAGCAGUGAGGAGGGUUUUCCAGUGAGCCCGUGCUGAGGCAGCAUCAGUCCAGCUCUUUGCUGCUUUGCCCACCUCGUGUGUGCAGGAAAAACCUUGGCUCAGCCUGGGCCAGACCCACCUGUGAGCGCGUGGAUGGGGAUGUGCCGCGCCGCAGGCUGGGAUGUGCUGCUGGGAAACAGCGUUGGCUCUUGGCCAGCCUGGAGCAGGGAGGUGGCAGGGAGUGCCUUUGAUGCCUCGGCUCUGGCUGAGCAGUGGCUCUGGGAGGGGUGGCCCCACGGGCAGUCACAGUGAGGCUCUCCAACAAGCUGUUCCCAUUCCUGCUCAUCAUGGAAGCAGCAGCCCACCUGUUCUCCGCUGUGCUGGAAUAUCAGCCAGCACCCUGGCUCUGUUGUUUCAGGCUGCAGUGGGUAAUUUUUAAUCCCUCUAUUCAGAGUGUUUCUAGGAACAGGAGGAGAAACAUACGGCGUAUGCUCACCUCGCCUCCCAGGAGGUGUGGGGGAGUGUGUCCCAGCAGCUGCUGGGGUAAUCCUUGUCCUUCUGUCCCCAACCACAUCUGAAAGGUGUGCCCAGCGUGUCUGGGCAUCACCCCGCAAGCAGGUGGGCUCCAAUGGCUGAGCAGGGCUGAGGGGGUCAAAGUCCCCAACAGGGGCAUGGACAAGGGCAUGUGCAGGGCACAGGGACUGGAGGAGUGACUCCAUCCUCUCCUGGGUUUCCCUGAGGCAGACCAGCUCCACAGUGGUGCGGGGGGCACCUCAAAGGCACAGGUUAUCCCUCCACAGUCACACUGGGGCUUUUAGGGUAUGGAUGCCAUGAGUGUUUGAAAGUUGCUUGGAUUAAGGACUCACAGUUGGCCAAAGAGGGUCUCUGGUGAGCUCUGGGCUGGACGCAGCUGUGAUCUUAAAGCACACAAGGUAUCUGCAGGAGUAGAGAGGGGGGAGCAGGCUGAGUGCUCAGCUACUGGGACCUACCUCCUGGAUCCUGCAGCUCCCCCUGUCUUCCCUUGUCACCAAAUCUCCAGCACAUGAGGCUUUGAUGCCCUGUCAUUGCUCAUUGUCCUGGCCCUCACCCUGACCCCACUGCAGCCGACGGGAAUGGUGUCAGUGGGGCCGGUGGCAUAACGAACAUUUUGUCUUCUCCCUUCGCUUGUUCCCUCCUGUGUCCCCUCCUGCCCACCCUGCUCUCGCUCUCUCGCUGCAUCGCCUGCUCUGGGCACCAUCUGGUGAAUUUUGGGCUGUCUCAUCUCACCAACUGUCGUUUGUCCUGGCUGUGCUGUAAAUGCGCUCACGUUUUGCUUCAAAGGACCCCUAAACCACUCUCUUUGUGGACCAGCCGGGCUGUCGGAGAGGAGCCAAGCCGUUGGCACUCAGCAAGCAACAAGCAUUAAUAAAAGCAUUACAGUGAGGUUAGAGCCUCAUUAAAGUAAUGCUAACGAACCGGCUGCCUUCCAAAAGUAUGAAAUUUUUGCUAACACUUCCUCCUUCUAAUUUUAAGUAUAUUUAAAUCUUUCUAGGGAGGCAAUAUUCAGUCCUCCAGGCUACAGCAUAAGCAAAGCCCAUUUCAGAGGAGCUGCUCUGGAAGUGCACUGAUGCCCUUGGGAGUGUUCUCCAGCCCCAUCCUGCAGCCUCACUGCUGUGACCACACAAUGGGGCUGCCCAGACGUUUUUCCCCCUGUGCAGUGUCCUGGAGCUCACUCUACAGAAGCCCCAGUGCCCCAGAGUGCCUGCCAGCACUGGGGUAUGUGGACUGAAGGCAGGGGCUGCACCCACUACUGCCCCAUGCUCCCAGCCUUGGCCACAGCCAGCAGACUUGUGUUAGAGCAGCCAAAGGAACCGCUAAUUGACCCAGGCUGGCACGGGUCUGGCCCUGAGGUGCAGACAGUGCCCUUCAUCACAGCUCUUCUCCACUAUUGUUAACUCGCAGAGACACUGGGAUGAAAGGCUUGGCAGCUCGUAUCUGCUGCUGGCACCCUUUGCCAGGUGUGUCUGGAGGGGGGAGAUCCCACCCUGUGGUCCACAAGCAGCAUCUGAGCUUUGCUGGGUGGAGAUCGCUGGGCUGGGACUGGCGUGCCGAAGGGGCUUUGCUCUGGGACCCCCUCCAGCCUCCUCGAGCACCCUCAGGGCUGGCUCCAGGUGGUUCUCCUGGCUCCCCACGCUCCCCCCGGGCUGUGCAGCGCUGUGCCCGCCGCGGCAGACACCCAACUGCCCGCCGAGCCCGCGGCUCCAUUGUAAAGCAAAUUAAUUCGCCGCCGCGCCGAGGAAUAGCCGUGCUCUCGGGGAGGCUUGGCAGCAGCAUUGAGGAAAGCAGCUGCUCCAGGACUCAGAGCCCCUUUUUAUUUCAUUUGCCUGGUUUUAGCAGCAUGUGAUGGGCACAUGAGCAGCAGCUCUGCCGGACAUCUCUCUGACUGGGGGGCUGAAGCUGCUGUCUGCCCCACUCCUGUGGUAAGCACGGGGCUUCUCCCUUCUGGUCCUCCUCCUCUCAGCCCAGAUAGGUUUUUAUUCUCCUACUCACUUUGAAGCAAACCCUGCAGUUUCAUUGUCAAAGGACAGUGUUUGAUGGAUGAAUCCCUCUCUUUUACCUUGCCUGAUAGGGAGGGUACAGGGCAAACAUGGUGUUUUAAACAAUAAAUACCACUCUCUUGUGUGGAAACAACCAGUCCAAAUGGUUUCUGCUAUGUUUAGCAGCCCGUUUGAAGGGUCUGCCCGAGGGAGAGGGUGGCAUCAGAAUGAACUCAGUGUUACAGCACUGCCUUCUGUGCGACUUGUUGCAGAGACUCGCUGAGAGCUCGAUGAAGUUGCAGGUUUGUACUAAGGGUGUUCCCCCACUGCCUCCCGAACCUUGUGGGUUAGGGGGGCUGCAGAGGCAAUUGCUCAGCUCCUGGGUGUCCAUGCCUGGGGCUGGCAGUGUCUGUGGGAGUUCAUGUCUUGCUGCAAGAUUUCCUCUUCAUUUCAAGCAUUACAACACAGAUUUUCCUCUUGCAAAGGCCCCAGCUCUGCAGACAGGCACUGUCCUCACUGCAGGGAAAUUAAUAGGGUGUCUCGGAGCAAAGGUAAAACUAAAGUACAUAAGUAAAUGUUUGCAGGAUCAGGACCUUAUUCAGGCAUAAAUCAGGUAGCUCCAGCCAACAAUAGAAUUACCUUAGUAUAAAAUCCCAUGUAAGCCAGUAAGAUCAGCUCCAAACCUGCUAUGAAUUUGCUUUUUGUUUCCAUGCCAAGAAUAUAUCACUUCUAACUGCUGCAAUCAGGGCUGGUCUUUUCAAUUUAUUUUUUUUUAAGUGCUUUUGGGCACAUUUAUUUCCCAUCACCAGCAGAUACGAGUGGAGCCUGACUCUCCUUCCCUCGGGCAUGUCCCAGCCUGCUUUUGCCCACAAUUAAUUGUCGCUAUCAGGGAAUAUUUUUUUUCUUUCCUUGCCUUUUUUUGUUACUGCAUUCGGUAAACAAAGGGACAGCAGUGAUGAUCCAAAACCGUUCUUUUUAUUUGCCUGGGAACAGAGUCAACUAUUUGUGGGUCUUUUGUUGCUGAUUUUUUUUCUCUUUUUAGCUGGUGACCGUUUAAACGGCUACUGGUACCUGUGGUGAGCCUGCACUGGUGCUGUGGGAUUUGUCACCUGAUGGCACUGAAAAUCAUGGAUGGGGCACUGAUGAGGACAAGGAGCUGCACAUGGAAUGUAUCAGGUCAAACCAAAGGUCCUGGGCACAGUGGUCCCUUCUGUCCUUCCCAAAGAAUAUGAAAAUAGCCUGCAGGGUUUUCCUGGUGGCUGCACUUGCCUCAGUUUUCCCAGUUCUCAGCUCUCUGUUUCGAGGUGAUGCCCCAAGACAAGAAGCCUGGUGAUGUUUGCACCCGGUUAAGCCAGGAUGAGACCAGUUCUUGGAAAUGAGCUUGUCAAAACACCUGGGAGAAGAAAGGCAGGGAGGGAUGAGAGGUAGAGAGAAGGAAGCUGUAGGCUCUUUUAGCUUGAGGGCAGAGUUACACUGGCCUCUCCAUCCCUGGGGCCCAUGCAGCAGCAGAGCAGGCAGUGAAGGCAGCUUCUGGAAUGGUCUCUUCCUAGCAGACACCAGUGUCAUCCCCACCUGCCCCUCCAACUACAACCUACAGGGUGCUCCAAAAACCCAGGCAGAGCUUCUCUGCCCCAUUGCACCAGGACACAGCAGGCCCUGGGGCAGCACUGUGAGGAACAGGAAUGCAUUUUCCAAGGGACAUUUAGGGUCUUCAGUUAUUUUUGAAAAUGGCUCAGAGGGUCCUAAUUCAUGUGCUGUAGAAAAAGGCUGCCUGUGAACACCCUGUAUAGUGAGGACUUUAUGGGUGUUGCCUGUAAGUCACCACCAGAUGACUGUAGCUGCUGUUACAGCGUUGGGCUUUGCUGGUGGCACACACAGAGCUUGGUAUCCUGGGGAUGUCUGAAUGGGAGUCCUUCCCUAACACCACUGAGGGGACGGCUGGCUGGCAAGGGAGAUCAAUCACCCUGAGCUGGCAUCCUUCAGGAGCCAUUAUUUCAAUAGACCACAGAAGUGAGGUAGUGCUGGGGGAAGCCAGGUGUGGCUCCCAGAAGCUCUGCUGGAGCCCUUGCCCGGUGCCUGCCCUGGGGACAGGAGGAUCCGAGUGCCAGGCUCAUCUCCCAGGGGGGUCUGCAGAGCACCACCCUCCUCUCUGCCCUCCAGGCUGUUUCAAGGAACAUUUUGCAGCCCUGAGGAUUUCUGUUUGUGCCAUCCAGCAUGGGAACAGGCAGGGGGACAAUUCGGUCCUGCUGCCCUUCUCAGUUUUUUUGGUGCUUGGUUUUACUUGGCUCCAGAGCAAUUCCCAAGGCCUCCGAGUGACCGCUCAUUGUCACAGCAUCCUCUUGGGUAUUUUCCUCCCACGUAUCCCCACACUUUGGGCAGUGAUGUGUGCUGGGGACACCCCGGUUGCCAUCAGAGUUAUUUUUGACCCCUGGACACUCAGGAACAGCACAGGGGGAGCUGCUCCCCUGCCUCUGCCAGCCAUAACUCUGGUGCUGCAAACUAAACCCCUGGGACAUCCCUGGGGGCCAUAUGGUGUCUCUGAGGCUUUGAUCAAGUUGAAUGAAACCCAAAGCAGCCAGGCAGGUUGGACUGUGAGCCACAGUGAGCCUGGGGGGGCCUGUCCUGCCCUUCUUGGAGCGUGCAGGCUGCCAGCCCGGGCAUUAAGAAGCACUUUGGUGUCUCUUGCCAGUGCCCAGUGGAGGUGCUGCUGAGAUUGAGGGGAGGGGUUGCAUGUAAAGGAGGAUGGUUUUGUGGUCAGGUGAUACAAGUGGAGGGAACAGCAUCUCAGGCUGAUGUUUGAAAAAGCCAUCAGGCAGCAGGUGGGUGAGGGGAGCCUGAGAACACAGGGUGUUUGCUGUAAAUCUGGGCCAAAAAAGCUGUGAUUCAAACCUGUUCUCGGGGCCAAGACUGGCGCUGCCAAGUCACCAUGGAUUGCAGGAGCCCCCUGCCUGGGGCUCUACUUCUUUUAGGUGAGGAUAAACAGUCCUGGAACACAUGGAGGAGAGGUACAUGUGGGUCUAGCCUGCUGGGGUCCACCAAAAAAAGUCUCAGUUCCACAGAGGCAAGAAAAAUUACUCAGGAGAAUUUCUCCUGGAUUUUACCCGGCACCUCCCUGUGGUACUUUGUGAUACUUUGAGCUUGCUGUUGGGAAAAUAAGCAGCUCAGGUUGGUUGAAUCUCAAACCUUAUAUUAAGCAUUUACUGGCUGGUCUCCAGGCAGAGCCAUAUUCCUGCUGCCAGCCAGACUCAGCCCUCAGCCCUGCCCUGGGGGACUGGGGGGUUGUGAGCAGUGUCUCCCCCACUGGGAUGCACAGUCAGGAGGAGGGAUUUGUACCUUCCCACCUGGACCUGUGGAGGCUGAAGGGACUCAGUGAUAUCAGGGCCUGCCAGAAGGGACAAGGACCUUGUGCAAAGGGUGGAUGUUUAAUGUUACAAAGGCUUCUGGAGUCUUGCUCUAUAAUUCCAAUUAUAUAAAAAGCCAGAUUUCAGACUUUACUCUAAAAGAAGUGCAGGGGUAGAGGGAUGAUGGUUUCUGACUGAUUGUGGAUUUAUUUUUUAAUUGUGUACCCACAAAGUGAUGUCAUGCAAAAAAAAUCUAACCCAUACAGAAACUCAUUUCAAAAUGAGUAACUGCAACAUUUUUUCAGUCAUUGUCUAAAAAGGCUAUUGCAAGAUUGCUGGGGCUCCCCUUCUCCCCAGUAUGAUAUUCUGAUAUAAUUGAUGGGCUGUUUGGACUCUGAUAGCAUUUGCUUCCACUCAGUUUCUCAUGAAAACCCUCCUGAUGCCUUGUAGAGCCACAAGAAGGUACGUAAGCUUUACUCUCCCACUUUCUCCCUCCCAGAAGGAAAAUGGGAACUGGAAAAUUCCUCCAGUUUCUCAGCAGAGGGGCUGAGGGGCUGAGGCAAUGUGGUUCUGUACAAAGCAGCUCUGGCCACGGGCUCUCUCAGCAGUUUUAUCUGCUUGUUGGGCUGGAAAUCAUGACCUCAGCCACGACCACAGGUGCUCUCUGGAACACUCUGCAAGGAAAUCUGUUUGAAUAGCAACAGCAGAACUACUGGAAUAAUUUAUGCAUCUGAACUAGCAAGGUGUUAAUCUGUCUCAGGGGCAAAACAAAAAUGCUGCGAAACUUCCAGGGGCCUUGCUUGGUUUUUCUGCACCUCAGCAGGCUCUCAGGCUUGUGCUUGUGCAUCGCUGUGUGGAGAACACCCAGCACAGAGAGGCCAUUUCUGCUGAUAACAGAAAAGUUGGUGUUUGGUCCUGCUGUCAAUGGGCUUUAGCUUGGAGGGAAACCUCCACUAGUCAGCUGCUUUGUGGCAUUUUUACAGCAAAAUAAAAGAUGCCUGGAAUUAUUUGUUGGUCACCAAGCAAAUGUUUUACUGCUGAAAUGUUCCAGAGGCUGUUUACAGAGUCUUGACUGACAAAAGUGCAAAAAACUUACAACUUAUGCCCUGCCUUCCCAAGAGGCAAACCAUGAAGAUGAAGGUGGAGAUGGAGCCACCUCCUGCAAGAGCAGCAGGGGUCACCCAGGGCUGAAACUGGGGAGAAGCUAAUUUGUUAUGCAAAUGUCUACUUGAGCCUGGUUGUAUACAGUGGAAAGCUCUUGAAUUAUUUUAAGCAGAGGACAAAAGUUCUCUCCCUCCCCCAUCAUCUUGGAUCCUUGCAAAAACAAAACAAAACAGAAACCUCUGUGUGAACCAUCUGACAAUGAUCAGUACUUGGCUUUCCUGGCAAGAGCAGGGUGUACACAGGCACAUGGAAACAGAGCAAUUAAGGAAAAAAACGGUAUUGGAAGCAGCCGGGCUUUAUUUCGUCUUGAUGACAGCAUGAACUGAUCAUCCUCCAGCCUUAUCUCUGUGAGCUUGCCGAGCACAGGAUGCUGCAGGGGCUGGGGGGCUCUCCCUGGGUGACCCACAGCUCCCCCCGCUGCCUACCUGAGGCUGAGGGCUGAGGCUCAACCCUGGCUCUCUGGGCAAGGAGGGGAGCAAGAGUGGCUAUUUUGGAAGUAAGAAGCACUUUCAGGCCAAAAGUUCAGGCUGGCAGCCUGGUUCUUGCAGAGAAGGCACCCGUGCGAGGUUCCUGGGCUGUCUGGCACUGGGCUCCCCGGCCGCCCGCUCCCGACCACAGCACUGGCCACGGCUUUGCAUGAGCAGAUGUGCAUUUCACACUGCUCAGAAAAUCCUGUCAGCAUUUAUAUAGAAUUGAGGGGUGCAGAGGGGACAAAGCUGAGCCUUUCCCACAUGGGUGGUGAUGCCACACGCUGCCAUUCCCGUGGGGAGUGUGGCUAAACCUGUGCCGUGUACUCCUGCAGCACAGGCUGUGCGAGGCAGCAGCACUGCCUGUGCUCUGCCCACAGGGAGCUGCAGCAAAAACUUGUUUUCCAGGCAGGUUGUGUCUCUCCAGAGUGGUUUUCCACUGAGCCAAGCUCUCCUCUGACCUCAGCAUCCCUGUGCCCCCACACCAUGAGAAAGCCCAGCGGGCAGCAGAGCUCUGGCAUGCAGGGGGCUGGUUAAGCUGGGGUGAAUCAGCUUUUAGAAAAGGUGUGGGGUUCAGACAAGCCAUUGCCCUGUGCUGGAGAGAUUCCUGCUGGUUCUGCAGCCCUGUGGUGAAAUGGGGGUGCGGCACAAAGCCCCUUCCUACAGGGCUGCCUGGCUGCCUCGCUGGGCAGCUGCUGGUGCUGGCAUGACCCAGCUGCUGACAGGGAAACCUGGAUUUUUCCACACAGCAAAAGUCACGCAGGGUCAACUCCACUGAUUCCUGCACGGAGCUUCCCCACAGUCCCAUCCCAAACACGUCAGGGAGCUGCUGAGCUGCACUGCUCCUGCCCCAAAACAUGUGGGUCCCUCGGGCUUUGCUGGUGCUGCUGAGGGAGGUCAGCGAGGCCACAGAGGCUGGGGAAAACCCUCCACAAGCCCAAACAACCCCCCAAAAGCCCCAUUCAGCCCGCAGAGUUGAGUUCAAGUCAAUGUGGGCUCUGCUGGCUCCUCAGCUCAGGCCAGCUUGCACCCCAGGGUCCCUGGGUGCAGGUGACAUCCCUGAGAGCUCAGGACUCACCUGUCCUCAGCCUGGCUCUCUCCUGUGACACACAGGGGAACCAGAGGCACUUGGCCAUUCCCUGAGGCCCUGGACUCACAUGUGUACCUUUUGUGGCAGGGGAUGAGCUGCUGUGCUGGCCAGUUCCUCGUCUCAUGCCACCAUCCUGCCUUGCUGACACUCAUCCCGUGGGAGCCUGUGAGGCAUGGCAGAGGAGGCAGCAUGUGCCUUUGGCAGGCUGGACAAAGCCCCCACCAUCAUCUGUACCACAAGGAACUCAGCCUUCCCCCAGGAAUGUUCACGGCUGAAGCUGGGGAGGGAGGACAGAGGACGGCGGCAUGUGGGAAAUGCGGUGGCACAGACCCUGACGAAUGUCAUGGUGAGCUAUUUUAAGAUUUUUAUCUUGCUACCCUCUGACAAAAAUGUGCUUUGGAGCAGAGCUUAUCAUGUGCAGUUUGGCACAUGGGGACCCGUGAGGGGACAGUGGGGCUGGUCCCUGUGAGCUGGGGCAGUGAUGUGGGGCUGGUGGUGAAGCAGCACUGGGUGCUGCCAGCACAGCACCCAUCUGUGCCAUGGGAGAUGGGCAGGAACAGCCACAGGCCUGACCCAGACAGCCCGUUCAGUGGCUCCCCAAGAUAAAAACCAGGUGUCUGAGCCAAAAUCCCAGCCCAGGUCUGAAUCAAGGGAGUGCUAGACUUCACUGUGCUCCUGGCUUCCUGGUGUCACCCAGACCAUGGGGCAGCUGAGAACCUUCCCUGCCUCCAAUUUCUAAACUUUGGAUCUUUCUAAACAGGGUGAUUGAUCAGAUGAUGAUGCUGCUGCCUCCUGUAGUCUCUUUUCCCCAUGGUUGUGUCCCAGGAACAUGGGGGAUCACGUGCACAGGCAAGCAAGUGGCCCUGGGUGUGUGCCCUGGGAUUGCCACCACCACCAGCUCCCACUGGCUCCCAGGGGAGGGCGAGGGAGUGCUGGUCUGGGAUGGAACACCGCAGACAAGCCCUCCUGAGGUGAGGAGGUGUAACUCUGCAAACACUCAAACCGACAGCAGCACCCCCACUGCUGCGAGCUGAGGGUUCGUGUGAGUUAUCACCCUCGUCCUCUGGGCUGCUGGGGCUGGAGAUUAGGGAGCUGCUCCUUAUCAGCCCCCGGCCCCGCACCCAUGGGGCUCCCCUUUCAGUCUUAUUCACUGGAGAAAUGAGUAAGCCUGUUGUAACCACCAUGCUGGGACCUCUAAGCAGGCACAGGCUCGGGCUGUGCUUGGUGGGUUGGGGUGAGGGUUUUUUAAAGCAUCUCAGCACACUGACCUACAGCAUCCAGGACAUGCUGCAGACACCCAUGGGAGCUGGGGCUGUGCUGGAGCUCAGGGCCUUGCACAUACAGAGCUCAGCAUGUCUGAUGAGGAUGGAAAGAGUUAACUCUGUGUGUGUGCAUGUGCACGUGUGUGCAUAGGAGGAGAGGGGAAAUCCAAGGCCCUCACUGUUCCCACAAUCUGCAGUGCCUCAGUUGCACAGAGACCCCACAACUGUCCCCAAACCCACUGCCUGUGCACAGAGCUCUUGGCCCAAUCUCUGAACAUGGGCCCAACUCCUGUGUGUACCCAUUCCUCCAUCCCUCCAUCCCUCCAUCCCUCCAUCCAUCCAUCCAUCGGGCUGAGCAGGUCUCAGCCCCAGCCUCCUGCAGCACCACACUGGGAUGUUCUGCACAGCAACCAUUUCUAGCAGUGUAUUCGACAGCUACAAGAAAAUAUUCCUGCACUCUUCAGCUUCACUAGGCACAUGACCCAGACAGUGCCAAUGGUAUAAACAUUUGGAUUCAAUUUAUUCUCCUUCCUGCAGGCUCUGUCUCGGCUGGCAACUGCAGAGCAGUGCUGGGACUGGGGCUGCUCCCUGCCCACGGGACAGGGGCCGGGGCAGGUGCUGGCAGUGCCCUAGCAGCCUUUUACCCAACUCGAUGGGAUAUUUUUAAUAUUUUUUUCCAUUCAAGCCCAUACAGAGCUGCUGGCAGGCCUGGUGCUUUCAUCCAGAUUGCAGAUGCCCAAAAUAUCUGUGUUCUGGACUGAGCAGACUGAGGCUGAAGUGCCCAUGGUUGGCUGAUUGAAGAGAACAUAUGGGAAUGCAGAAAGACAGACAGACAGACAGACAGACAGACACCCACAGGCAAAGUGCCUGAGCGUGUAUGGCAGCAGUGGGCAAGAGGAUGGGGGAUGCCCUGGACUGUGAGUGCCCAUCUCCAGCCAUGGCUCUCACAUCACUACAGGAUCUUUUUACUGUUUUUCCCAGCCCUCUGAAACUGAGCUCAGUCCACGACGUGGUUUUGCCCCAGGCGAGCUCGUGCUACCAGCCAUUAAAUUUUGUUGCAUUGCUGUUAUGUUAUGCUCCUCAUUUUAAAUUAUCUGCCAAUCUGCAAUUCACCUGGCAUCUUCAGCAGCCAGGAUUUGUGAAAUAAAAGUUAAAAUAUCAGUUGAAAUAAGGCAUUCAUAUGUAUUCUUUCACACACACAUAUAUAUGAAUGCACAUGGCUAUUGAUAAAAAAAAUCUGUUUGUUCAUAGAUACAUGUUUCUAAUCAGAUUUAUAAUGUAUGUAAUAUAAAUGUUUUUGUACACAUAAAAUUCACUUGAAAAAGGAAACCAAAUUGGUUUACCUUACUAAAGUGGCAUGAAAUAUAGACUAGUGUACAUUGUUGAAAAUAAGGUAGGAUGUGGGUUUUGGAUGGUUUUUCUUCCCCUGAGGGCUUGUUCUACUGUGUUUUUGUCUAAAACCUGCUAAUUUUAAAGCCAGCUGAUGGAAAACUAAUGGUACGAUCUAUUUAUUUCAUUUCACUUUCAUUUUGCACGGCUCAAGCUUUGUUUAACGGGCUCACAUGUCAGCAGCUCAUGCAAACACAGCAGCUGAUGCUACCAGAGACCGCAAACGGCUGUCGCUGACCUCCCCUGUGUUUAUCCAGAGGUAGAGAUUGAACAGGAGCCACUCAAGUGAGCUGAGUCUGAUUUUAAAAGAUCUUUUGAGUGUUAAACAUGUAAUAAGAUGCUCAGUGCUAUUUUCAAACCAAGACAUAUUCCUGGCUGAUUUACAAAAGGCCACGGCCUCCAGCUUUAUGUGGCUCCUGGGAUUUUGGGGUCUCAUUGAUUCAAUUCCUGACAACAAUCUCUGACUUCUCCACCUCUGUGUCUCCAUCUCUAACCUUUCCAUCACUAACCUUUCCAUCUCCAACAGCUUCAUCACCACUAUCAGCCUCCUGAGCACAGACACAGAUAAUAAAUCUGAGUCUUUAAUUGCCCUCGCACACCACGUGCCCUUAUCUGAGCCAUCGUCCCUGUUGCUGUGCCCUGUCACACCUCUGUGUUUCCAGGUUUGUGGUGCUGGUGUCAGCAAAGGGAUAAAACAACAGUUAUUUGGUUCUGGUUUUAGGUACAAAUCCCCCCAGUAACACACUCCUGCUUGCGUGGUCCCACACAAUGUGUCUGACAAGGCUGAGGGGGCUUUGCCGGGGGGAAUUUACAAACCCUCUGCUUUUACCUCAUGCGAGGUCCCACUUUUUGAUUAUUUGUGCAGCUAAAACUAAGCAAAAAUUUGUGGAGGUAAGAAAACCCCCAACAACCCAGCAUAAAUUCCCUUGCUAAAGACAUCAGUAAGAGUGGAGGGGGCUCUGCCCAGGAGUGUGGGUGCUGGGACAGCUGAUGCUGGAGAAGCCUCAAUCACCAUUUACAGCUGUUUGUUAUUCGGGUCACAAGAAGGCCCAAUGCCUCUGGUACCCAAGGGGGAUUUCUGUAUUCCCCCAAUUUAUCCUCCCCCUUCAGGAAGUUUCCCGCAGCCCUCCAGGAGAGGGGCCGGCACGGGCACAGCUGUAUCAGCAGCCGCAGGUCUAUCGGGCUGAGCAGAAGCUUUUCCAGGAACUAUCUAGUGAAACACAUGACCCUGCCCGGGAGAUACGUGACAGGCAUUCACCGGGCUCCCGGCGAGUCAGUUGACUUUGUUAUUCAAACUAUUUUAGUGAUGGUUUUUAAUCCCAGGCUUAAGUUUUUCUUUUUCUAUUUUUCUCCCCCCCCCCCCCCCCUUCUUUUUUUACUCUCUGAACAAGGGAAUCUCUAUGCUGGCAGGAUUCAGAGAGGCACAAAGGAGGGAAAAACAAGUUUCAGCCAGAAGAGAGAGAAAAAAAAGAAAGGGAUGCUGUUAGCAUUCCCUGUAUGUGAGGGGGUAAAAACAUUUUGCUAUGAACUCUAUUUUAAAGGGCAAGUGCCAACAGCAGCCCAGUUACUAUGCAAAUAAAUCCUGUGCUCAGCCUUUUCCUCUCAGCUGUAAAGGUUUGGUACUGGGGCUGUGGGAGUUCGGCCAUGGGGGCUGGCAGUGCCCAUUGUGCCCUGCAGUGCCCCCAGUGCUCCCUCUCGGGGAUGGCCACUGGUUGGGGGUGCCACUUUGAAGCUCUAGAACUUGAUGGGAGCCCUUGGGGCUCCCCAGGUGUCACCAGAUAACAUGGGGCAGCGGGGGUAGUGCUGGGUAACCCCUUGCUCCUUAUCACGAGCAGGUUCAGGCAGCUGCUGGCAGCAGAGCCCUCGGCUGUGCCUCUGUGACAGGGGACACCCCAGGGAGAGGGAGUGCCUGGGAAGGGCAGAAAUCUCACCCCAGCCAUCCCCUUCCCACAGUGGGCAGAUGGGGAGGGUCUGGCACCAGCCAAAGCUCCUCAGGCAGCCUGGGUAUACAGGGCUGUCUCUCAGCUCGCUGCUGUGGGGUGGGAAGGGAGGGGAUGCUGGGAGAUGAUGCUGGACUGUGGCUGGGCUGGUCCAGAUGGUGACCAGGACCCCAGCCCCAGUAUUUAUGGUGAUAUUUCCUCAUGACAGCAGAGGGGCUGCACAUCCUUUAGCCCAUGAAAGCCAAAGCUCACCCUGACAGCUCUGGUGUGAUCGUUUCCUAUACAAAAUAUUUGAAUUUGUCAUGCAAAUGACUGGGCAUGUGGGCACAGCUGGCAGGAGGUGGCCCAGGCUGUGUCAGCCACCAGCAUGGCCAUGGGGAUGUGCCCAGGACAAGGUCUGGCCCCACAAGGCCAGUCCCACUCCCAGAACCUGUGCCAAGCAGAUGGUGCUGCUGGGGGUGCCCUGCCGAAACCACCCAGCCCUCGCCACUCCUCCCCACAUCCCCGUGGCUGCACAUUGCUGCACCAAAGCUCUUAAAACAAGCACUGUGACUCCCCAGCUCGUGCCAUCCCUUGGCUUCUGCCUGGCUGCAGCAGAGCUGAGGUGCCUGGGGUGAACUUCUUUCAUGCCAGGACAACAUAAGGCAGGCACAUGGUGCAGGUGAAAGAGGAUGCUCCAUCAAGCAAUGCACAAAAAAAAAAGAAAAAAAUUACACCUUUAAGCAUUUUCAAAGUGAUUUAAGCACUCGCCUUGUGCUACCUUUACCAGUCAGGAGCCAGGCAGCCACCACCUCCCAUCCACACCCCACUGCUCAUACGCUGCAUUUAACUCAGCUAACUGUCAGCACAGUGACCCUUUGAGCUCUUCCCACUUUCCCAGUCUAGCAUCAGGACAAGGAAGUGCUUGGGCUCCUUUUUAGGGGCCACAGCCUUCCCUCACCACCUGCCACCACAGCCCCUCUCCCCCCCGGCGGAGCUCAUUAUUCUGCCCGGCCGCACUUUCGCAGUCGGGUUCUCGCACCCAGGAAGGCGGCAGGUUGGGCUGUUGUUUUGAUGUGGCCGUUUCUCGAAAUGAGCCCGGAGCAAAAAGUGAGCGGGAUCCAGGAAUGGCAUUCGGCAGUGGCAGGCUGGGUGCUGGUAGCGCCGCCUGCGCCCUCGCUUCCUGGCAGUUUGGCCACCGUUCAGGAAAUUAGACAGCUAAAUGGAAAAUCAUCACUCUUUGCACUUCAGACUGCACUGCACAUGGGUUUUUUCAAUAUGAAAAACAUGGGUUUUUUCAACAGCAAAUUGAUUUUCAGCAGCUUUGGUGUGUCCCUAUUGACUGGGGGAGAUGUGGGUCCCCAGUGAAGGCAAAAGGUGAUGUUCAGCAGUGCCAGGCACCACUGCCUGAGGACGGGCACCCCAACGCUGCUGAGCUGGGGCCAAGUGCUCGUCAGUGGCUCCCAGCACCUCCAUCCAGCUCCAAAAUCCUCCCAUCCCUCUUCCUCAGAAAGAUUUAUGACAGGGAGGAAGAAGAAUUGCUGAAUAAUCUCCAGCCCCAAUAGCACUUCAAAGGCAGGUCUCGGGCCAGGCUGAGCUCCCCGCCAGCACCGCGCUGGAUGCGGCGCUCGGCUCUUACUUCUUUGGCAGCCCCACAGCAAAUCCAGAAAGUAAUUACUUAAAAAGGAAAUAAAUGUCACCCACAUGGUUGUAAGUAAAACCCCGGGCAGGAUGGACAGAGCCCCAUCAGGAUCUGCAUUCUCACGCAAUACAAGCAAGGGAGGAAGGAGCUGUUUCCAUUCAUCCAGAUGGGCUGUUUACUCUGAGGCCCACUGAUGACAUUAGACAUGCCCACCGUGUGCCUUCCACUUCACCAGGGUGGUUGAUCAAAAACAAUGCUGAACUGCCUCUGCUUUCAUCCUAUGGCACCCUCUUCCCCUAGGAUGGCUUUAGGCACCAUUACCUUCAACAGCAGCAUAUGCUGGUGCCAAAGACAUGACACUUCCUGGCACCAGUCCUGCCAUGACCUUCACAGACAGGAACCAGAUAACUGGCGCGAUCAAAUAGAAUAAUUUUAUUUACUUCUAAAAACUGAUUCUUGAGGUUUUGUAAUUGUCAAAAUCUGAAAACCAAGUUGGUUGGGGAAAGUCCAAUGCAGCCACCUUACUAAGGCAAAGCAGGCUCAGGGAUGUGAGCACCCUGCCAGUCUCACUGCUGCUGCACCUGCCUCAGCAUCAGAGAGGCCUUCAGCAACCCAUCCUUAACAAGGCUUUGGCAGACCACUCACUUUUGGAUAAAUUCAGCUUUGGAAAACAACUCUUAGACUGAACAAUUAGGAAGGUGGUGUCCUGAGGAUUAUGGGGUGGGAUCUGAUCCCAGCUGUCCCUGCUUCCACUGGAGCUGCACCAGGACAGCAGCACUUCCCCCCCUCUGCUCUGCACAGAGUGAGAAAGUGCCCCAUACCAGCACUGGGGACCCACAGCUCUGUGAGCUCAAAAACCCUGAGGUGACUUGGGACAGGCAGAGCAAGUAAGGGCACAUGGCACACGCUGCAGGGACAGUGGCACCCAGGCAGUGCCUGUCAGGAUGCCAGCAGGGGCUUCUGCCCCAGGACACACACUCCUGGCCUACGCCAGCACACUCAUGGUGAAGGCCUAGUGUAGCCAGAUCAGGUCCGUUGGGAAGUACUCCCUAAUGCACUUCGGCCAAGCAAACAUGGUACCAUAGAGCACUGAGUAAUUUUAAAAGUU
Chiroxiphia lanceolata (lance-tailed manakin) is the source of this 26404-nucleotide long non-coding RNA. RefSeq lists it as uncharacterized. NCBI's taxonomy places the organism in Eukaryota, Metazoa, Chordata, Aves, Passeriformes, Pipridae. The record is from RefSeq and is a predicted model, not a curated record. The transcript has 3 exons.